GAGGGUAUAGGUCAGUGGUAGAGUGCCCGCCUAGCACGCACAAGGUCCUGGGUUCCAUCCCCAGUACCUCCA
Molecule: transfer RNA, 72 nt
Organism: Camelus ferus (Wild Bactrian camel)
Lineage: Eukaryota; Metazoa; Chordata; Mammalia; Artiodactyla; Camelidae
Rfam family: tRNA
About the family: Transfer RNA (tRNA) molecules are approximately 80 nucleotides in length.
Source: Rfam